RNAcentral lists this ribosomal RNA (1492 nucleotides) under metagenome. Its description in RNAcentral is "bacterial SSU rRNA". It matches the Rfam family "Bacterial small subunit ribosomal RNA". The record is from RNAcentral.
AGAGUUUGAUCAUGGCUCAGAUUGAACGCUGGCGGCAUGCCUUACACAUGCAAGUCGAACGGUAACGCGGGGGCAACCCUGGCGACGAGUGGCGAACGGGUGAGUAAUACAUCGGAACAUAUCCAGUAGCGGGGGAUAACCUAUCGAAAGAUGGACUAAUACCGCAUACGAUCUACGGAUGAAAGCAGGGGACCGCAAGGCCUUGCACUAUUGGAGUGGCCGAUGUCGGAUUAGCUAGUUGGUGAGGUAAAGGCUUACCAAGGCGACGAUCCGUAGCUGGUCUGAGAGGACGAUCAGCCACACUGGAACUGAGACACGGUCCAGACUCCUACGGGAGGCAGCAGUGGGGAAUUUUGGACAAUGGGCGCAAGCCUGAUCCAGCCAUGCCGCGUGAGUGAAGAAGGCCUUCGGGUUGUAAAGCUCUUCGGUGAAGACGAAACGGUUAGCGCUAAUAACGCUGACUAAUGACGGUACUCACAGAAGAAGCACCGGCUAACUACGUGCCAGCAGCCGCGGUAAUACGUAGGGUGCAGGCGUUAAUCGGAAUUACUGGGCGUAAAGCGUGCGCAGGCGGUUUGCUAAGACAGGUGUGAAAUCCCCGAGCUUAACUUGGGAAUUGCGCUUGUAACUGGCAAGCUAGAGUGUGGCAGAGGGGGGUGGAAUUCCACGUGUAGCAGUGAAAUGCGUAGAUAUGUGGAGGAACACCGAUGGCGAAGGCAGCCCCCUGGGUUAACACUGACGCUCAUGCACGAAAGCGUGGGGAGCAAACAGGAUUAGAUACCCUGGUAGUCCACGCCCUAAACUAUGUCAACUAGUUGUCGGGGAAGAAAUUCCUUGGUAACGAAGCUAACGCGUGAAGUUGACCGCCUGGGGAGUACGGCCGCAAGGUUAAAACUCAAAGGAAUUGACGGGGACCCGCACAAGCGGUGGAUUAUGUGGAUUAAUUCGAUGCAACGCGAAAAACCUUACCUACCCUUGACAUGCUAGGAAGCCCGCAGAGAUGUGGGUGUGCCCGAAAGGGAACCUAGACACAGGUGCUGCAUGGCUGUCGUCAGCUCGUGUCGUGAGAUGUUGGGUUAAGUCCCGCAACGAGCGCAACCCUUGCCAUUAGUUGCUACAUUCAGUUGGGCACUCUAAUGGGACCGCCGGUGACAAACCGGAGGAAGGUGGGGAUGACGUCAAGUCCUCAUGGCCCUUAUGGGUAGGGCUUCACACGUAAUACAAUGGUCGGUACAGAGGGCUGCCAACCCGCAAGGGGGAGCUAAUCCCAGAAAGCCGAUCGUAGUCCGGAUUGUAGUCUGCAACUCGACUGCAUGAAGCCGGAAUCGCUAGUAAUCGCGGAUCAGCAUGUCGCGGUGAAUACGUUCCCGGGUCUUGUACACACCGCCCGUCACACCAUGGGAGUGGGUUCCACCAGAAGUAGUUAGCCUAACCGCAAGGAGGGCGAUUACCACGGUGAGAUUCAUGACUGGGGUGAAGUCGUAACAAGGUA